UACAGAGGGGGCAAGCGUUAUUCGGAAUUAUUGGGCGUAAAGAGCUUGUAGGCGGUCUGUCGCGUCUGCUGUGAAAAUCCGGGGCUCAACCCCGGACUUGCAGUGGGUACGGGCAGACUAGAGUGUGGUAGGGGAGACUGGAAUUCCUGGUGUAGCGGUGAAAUGCGCAGAUAUCAGGAGGAACACCGAUGGCGAAGGCAGGUCUCUGGGCCAGUACUGACGCUGAGGAGCGAAAGCGUGGGGAGCAAACAGG
RNAcentral lists this ribosomal RNA (253 nucleotides) under uncultured bacterium. RNAcentral's name for it is "partial 16S ribosomal RNA". It matches the Rfam family "Bacterial small subunit ribosomal RNA", at positions 524 to 776 of the family's 1533-position model. The record is from RNAcentral.